UGAUGAUGAAAGUAGAGAAGCAGCAUGCAGUGAGUGUAUAACAGAGCGAGUAGACACGAGCAGAGACCUCACACAGUCCUGUACAGUAACAUUAACCCUUUAGUUUCCAGUCUGACAGAUCCACGAGGCGCUGCGUUUACAUUCGCCUCGGGACUCGUGACGUUUCAUGAGCAGGCAGAGGCUGGAAGCACCUAAUGGGAGUGGAGGUGUGUGGUGAAAGUCUCUCAGACGUUGUCCAUCUCAGGAGCUGGCAUGGGAUCUGGGCCCGAGGCACAUGGAGGUUCACAGGGCUGACUGAGUUCUUCUGAAGACAGACUUUUAGUAGACAGAACACUGCUGAGACUUGGCUUUCGUACUCCCCGUGGCUGAGCCUCGAUCUCCACAUGAACCUCAAUGUUAGUUCCUUCUCUGUAAACAAAAGGGACAUAAAUAAAAAGUACACUGUAAAAAAUUAAGCUAAACAAUUUCUACUUGUUUUUAUAAGUUAUGUCAACUUAGCACAAAUCAAAACUUAAAUUAGUAGGUUGAAUUGACUUGCAAAACCAAGUUGUUUUAACUUCUGUUUCAUAAAUGGUCCAUUUUGUUUUACAGUGAACCUGCUUUUCUGGUAAGGGUGCUCUGUGAAAUCCAGGCUAAAGUCUCAUAAUUUAAUUAUUAGGAGCAGCAAAUGUACAGAGAUAUCAAUACAGGAUUAUAUAUUAAUACAGUAACUACAACUUUAUUCUAUGGGUGUCUGCAUUGUUUUAAUUACCAAAUUUGCUCACCUCAGAGUGAAUGUUUGAGUGCUAGUGAAGGCACGCUCCUCAACAACAUCCACUUCAUCUGACUGGACAUCCUGCUCAGUGCUGUCAAUAUGUCUAUCAUUGGGUGGUUCACUUGAGUCCUUUGCUCCUGACUGGACCAUACUGGUGCUGGGAAGUGGCAAAACUUCCUCCACAUUCACAGUCACUUCCUGUAUGCUUCCAUCAGUUAGAGCCGGAUUGGACGGGCCUGUCCAAUGGUCACUGACUACA
Misgurnus anguillicaudatus (oriental weatherfish) is the source of this 1013-nucleotide long non-coding RNA. RefSeq lists it as uncharacterized. The record is from RefSeq and is a predicted model, not a curated record. Lineage: Eukaryota; Metazoa; Chordata; Actinopteri; Cypriniformes; Cobitidae.